This 465-nucleotide ribosomal RNA is filed under the name Vreelandella stevensii. Its description in RNAcentral is "partial 16S ribosomal RNA". It matches the Rfam family "Bacterial small subunit ribosomal RNA", at positions 338 to 795 of the family's 1533-position model. The record is from RNAcentral. Lineage: Bacteria; Pseudomonadati; Pseudomonadota; Gammaproteobacteria; Oceanospirillales; Halomonadaceae.
CCUACGGGCGGCUGCAGUGGGGAAUAUUGGACAAUGGGGGGAACCCUGAUCCAGCCAUGCCGCGUGUGUGAAGAAGGCCCUCAGGUUGUAAAGCACUUUCAGUGAGGAAGAACGCCUGGUGGUUAAUACCCAUCAGGAAAGACAUCACUCACAGAAGAAGCACCGGCUAACUCCGUGCCAGCAGCCGCGGUAAUACGGAGGGUGCGAGCGUUAAUCGGAAUUACUGGGCGUAAAGCGCGCGUAGGUGGCUUGAUAAGCCGGUUGUGAAAGCCCCGGGCUCAACCUGGGAACGGCAUCCGGAACUGUCAAGCUAGAGUGCAGGAGAGGAAGGUAGAAUUCCCGGUGUAGCGGUGAAAUGCGUAGAGAUCGGGAGGAAUACCAGUGGCGAAGGCGGCCUUCUGGACUGACACUGACACUGAGGUGCGAAAGCGUGGGUAGCAAACAGGAUUAGAUACCCGUGUAGUC